RNAcentral lists this ribosomal RNA (250 nucleotides) under uncultured bacterium. RNAcentral describes it as "partial 16S ribosomal RNA". It matches the Rfam family "Bacterial small subunit ribosomal RNA", at positions 102 to 353 of the family's 1533-position model. The record is from RNAcentral.
ACGGGUGAGUAAUGUAUGGGGAUCUGCCCGAUAGAGGGGGAUAACUACUGGAAACGGUAGCUAAUACCGCAUAACGUCGCAAGACCAAAGAGGGGGACCUUCGGGCCUCUUGCCAUCAGAUGUGCCCAGAUGGGAUUAGCUAGUAGGUGGGGUAACGGCUCACCUAGGCGACGAUCCCUAGCUGGUCUGAGAGGAUGAUCAGCCACACUGGGACUGAGACACGGCCCAGACUCCUACGGGAGGCAGCAUG